This 627-nucleotide long non-coding RNA is filed under the name Homo sapiens (human). RNAcentral's name for it is "HSALNT0395675". The record is from RNAcentral. Lineage: Eukaryota; Metazoa; Chordata; Mammalia; Primates; Hominidae.
UCACAAUCAGCUAGGCUCUGAAGACAAAUCCGAGUUCAGGCUGUGGAUUGGCUGAUCCCUCAUGAAUAUGUAGAUUACUCUCACCCUUCACCUCGCUCUGUCUCUCUCUCUCUGUCUCUCUCUUUUGGAUCACACUCCAGGAAAAACCAGCCACCAUGUUGUAAGGAUGCUCAAGUAGCACUAUGGAGAUUCACACGUGGCAAAGAGCUGAGGCCUCCCACCAACAGCCACAUGAGGGAGCCAGAGUAGGAGUGGCUCCUCCAGCCCCAGUCGAACCUUCAGAUGUGACAGACUUGGCUGCUGACAGUUUGCAAUCUCAUGAGACCCUGAGCCAGAACCACCCAGCUAAAUCAGUCCUGGACUCCUGAUCAACAGAAAUGGUACCAAAGAGAGGCGUUUUGAACAUUAAGACGCUUUGCUGCUUCUCACCUGAAACACGUAACAGGAACACCAACCUCUUCAGCCGCGGGAAAUCUUCUUUGACACAAAACUCAAACCGAGUCAACCCAAAGUUCCAAGUUCUUUGCUUUCUCUUCUGUGUGUGUGUUGGUUUGUCCCAAAAGUCAGUUUGCAAGUUGAAACUUCAUGAAAUUACUCGUAGCAGAAAUAAAGUACAUUGUACAAAUC